RNAcentral lists this ribosomal RNA (488 nucleotides) under uncultured Saprospiraceae bacterium. RNAcentral describes it as "bacterial SSU rRNA". It matches the Rfam family "Bacterial small subunit ribosomal RNA", at positions 28 to 505 of the family's 1533-position model. The record is from RNAcentral. Lineage: Bacteria; Pseudomonadati; Bacteroidota; Saprospiria; Saprospirales; Saprospiraceae.
GAUGAACGCUAGCGGGAGGCUUAAUACAUGCAAGUCGAGGGGUAACAGGCUAGUUUUUCGGAAUUGGCGCUGACGACCGGCGAACGGGUGAGUAACGCGUACGAAAUCUGCCCUUAAGUAGGGAAUAGCCCUGGGAAACUGGGAUUAAUGCCCUAUAGUAUAGUGAAAUGGCAUCGUUUUACUAUUAAAGCUGCGGCGCUUAAGGAUGAUCGUGCGUACUAUUAGCUAGUUGGUGAGGUAACGGCUCACCAAGGCGACGAUAGUUAGGGGGCGUGAGAGCGUGAUCCCCCACACGGGUACUGAGACACGGACCCGACUCCUACGGGAGGCAGCAGUAAGGAAUAUUGGACAAUGGGCGCAAGCCUGAUCCAGCCAUCCCGCGUGCAGGAUGACGGCCCUAUGGGUUGUAAACUGCUUUUGUGUGAGAAGAACCACCUGGAUUUAUCUGGGUCUGACGGUAUCACAAGAAUAAGCACCGGCUAACUCCG